RNAcentral lists this ribosomal RNA (677 nucleotides) under Staphylococcus hominis. RNAcentral's name for it is "bacterial SSU rRNA". It matches the Rfam family "Bacterial small subunit ribosomal RNA", at positions 62 to 721 of the family's 1533-position model. The record is from RNAcentral. Lineage: Bacteria; Bacillati; Bacillota; Bacilli; Caryophanales; Staphylococcaceae.
UCAAGCGAACAGACGAGGAGCUUGCUCCUUUGACGUUAGCGGCGGACGGGUGAGUAACACGUGGGUAACCUACCUAUAAGACUGGGAUAACUUCGGGAAACCGGAGCUAAUACCGGAUAAUAUUUCGAACCGCAUGGUUCGAUAGUGAAAGAUGGCUCUGCUAUCACUUAUAGAUGGACCUGCGCCGUAUUAGCUAGUUGGUAAGGUAACGGCUUACCAAGGCAACGAUACGUAGCCGACCUGAGAGGGUGAUCGGCCACACUGGAACUGAGACACGGUCCAGACUCCUACGGGAGGCAGCAGUAGGGAAUCUUCCGCAAUGGGCGAAAGCCUGACGGAGCAACGCCGCGUGAGUGAUGAAGGUCUUCGGAUCGUAAAACUCUGUUAUUAGGGAAGAACAAACGUGUAAGUAACUGUGCACGUCUUGACGGUACCUAAUCAGAAAGCCACGGCUAACUACGUGCCAGCAGCCGCGGUAAUACGUAGGUGGCAAGCGUUAUCCGGAAUUAUUGGGCGUAAAGCGCGCGUAAGCGGUUUUUUAAGUCUGAUGUGAAAGCCCACGGCUCAACCGUGGACGGUCAUUGGAAACUGGAAGACUUGACUGCACAAGAGGAAAGUGGAAUGCCAUGUGUGCCGGUGAAAUGGGCGGAAAUCUGGAAGAACUUCACUGGCGAAGG